GGUGGCUCAGUGGUAGAGUGCUUGCCUUGCAUGCAGGAGGCCCUGAGUUUGAUUCCUCAGAACCA
Molecule: transfer RNA, 65 nt
Filed under: Dipodomys ordii (Ord's kangaroo rat)
Lineage: Eukaryota; Metazoa; Chordata; Mammalia; Rodentia; Heteromyidae
Rfam family: tRNA
About the family: Transfer RNA (tRNA) molecules are approximately 80 nucleotides in length. Their secondary structure includes four short double-helical elements and three loops (D, anti-codon, and T loops). Further hydrogen bonds mediate the characteristic L-shaped molecular structure. tRNAs have two regions of fundamental functional importance: the anti-codon, which is responsible for specific mRNA codon recognition, and the 3' end, to which the tRNAs corresponding amino acid is attached (by aminoacyl-tRNA synthetases). tRNAs cope with the degeneracy of the genetic code in two manners: having more than one tRNA (with a specific anti-codon) for a particular amino acid; and 'wobble' base-pairing, i.e. permitting non-standard base-pairing at the 3rd anti-codon position.
Source: Rfam by way of RNAcentral